AUUGAACGCUGGCGGCAUGCCUUACACAUGCAAGUCGAACGGCAGCACGGGAGCAAUCCUGGUGGCGAGUGGCGAACGGGUGAGUAAUAUAUCGGAACGUGCCCAGUGAUGGGGGAUAGCCCGGCGAAAGCCGGAUUAAUACCGCAUACGACCUACGGGUGAAAGCAGGGGAUCGCAAGACCUUGCGUCAUUGGAGCGGCCGAUAUCAGAUUAGCUUGNGGUGGGGUAAAGCCUACCAAGGCGACGAUCUGUAGCUGGUCUGAGAGGACGACCAGCCACACUGGGACUGAGACACGGCCCAGACUCCUACGGGAGGCAGCAGUGGGGAAUUUUGGACAAUGGGCGCAAGCCUGAUCCAGCCAUGCCGCGUGC
This 372-nucleotide ribosomal RNA is filed under the name uncultured bacterium. RNAcentral describes it as "bacterial SSU rRNA". It matches the Rfam family "Bacterial small subunit ribosomal RNA", at positions 30 to 404 of the family's 1533-position model. The record is from RNAcentral.